Molecule: long non-coding RNA, 498 nt
Organism: Mauremys reevesii (Reeves's turtle)
Lineage: Eukaryota; Metazoa; Chordata; Testudines; Geoemydidae
Exons: 3
Source: RefSeq, a predicted model, not a curated record
AAGAAGAGAGCAGCAUUUAAUGGCAUCAAAGCAGCUCUCAGAGCAUCAGCUAUUAAAUACAGCCUCAGAUAUCCAGCCAUUUUCAUAAUGAAGAUGACAGAUUCUGUGAAAUACUUCAAUACUCCUUUGGCUGCUUGGCAAGCAGUAUUGGAUUUGAGACCAGAUCUCACUAAGGAAAAAGACAUGCAAAGGCUUUCAAUCUACUGGGCAUCAAUGAGCAGCUGAACAAUCACUAAUUUUUCAUGAACGCUAUUAAGUUUUGUUCUUGUUAAAAUGAGGAACACGUCAGGGAUGUCAUCUAUCGCCUCUACUAUUUGAUAUACCUAUGGAACCGCUAGAAGCAUAUAUCAGACAGACACCUUCCACUGAAGGAAUUACCAUCUGGGAUAAAGAGUAAAGAUUAGUCUAUAUGCGGAUGACAUUCUGCUUACACUCAAAAAUCCCUUCUCUUCAAUUCCAUCACUACUAUCUGCAAUAAACUACUUCAGUGAGAUAUCA